GACGAACGCUGGCGGCGUGCUUAACACAUGCAAGUCGAACGGAAAGGCCCUGCUUUUGUGGGGUGCUCGAGUGGCGAACGGGUGAGUAACACGUGAGUAACCUGCCCUUGACUUUGGGAUAACUUCAGGAAACUGGGGCUAAUACCGGAUAGGAGCUCCUGCUGCAUGGUGGGGGUUGGAAAGUUUCGGCGGUUGGGGAUGGACUCGCGGCUUAUCAGCUUGUUGGUGGGGUAGUGGCUUACCAAGGCUUUGACGGGUAGCCGGCCUGAGAGGGUGACCGGCCACAUUGGGACUGAGAUACGGCCCAGACUCCUACGGGAGGCAGCAGUGGGGAAUAUUGCACAAUGGGCGGAAGCCGGAUGCAGCAACGCCGCGUGCGGGAUGACGGCCUUCGGGUUGUAAACCGCUUUCGCCUGUGACGAAGCGUGAGUGACGGUAAUGGGUAAAGAAGCACCGGCUAACUACGAG
RNAcentral lists this ribosomal RNA (468 nucleotides) under uncultured bacterium. Its description in RNAcentral is "partial 16S ribosomal RNA". It matches the Rfam family "Bacterial small subunit ribosomal RNA", at positions 28 to 507 of the family's 1533-position model. The record is from RNAcentral.